RNAcentral lists this ribosomal RNA (842 nucleotides) under Pelagomonas calceolata. Its description in RNAcentral is "partial Bacterial large subunit ribosomal RNA". It matches the Rfam family "Bacterial large subunit ribosomal RNA", at positions 819 to 1664 of the family's 2925-position model. The record is from RNAcentral. Lineage: Eukaryota; Pelagophyceae; Pelagomonadales; Pelagomonadaceae.
GGUGAAAGGCCAAUCAAACUCGGAGAUAGCUGGUUCUCCGCGAAAUCUAUUUAGGUAGAGCGUCUCGUAUUACCCUCGGGGGUAGAGCACUGGAUGGGCUAGGGGGUCCCAACGACUUACCAAACCUAACCAAACUCCGAAUACCGAGGAGUAGAGCGAGGCAGACACACUGCGGGUGCUAAGGUCCGUAGUGGAGAGGGAAACAGCCCUGACCGCCAGCUAAGGUCCCUAAGUUAUCACUAAGUGGGAAACGAUGUGGGAGUGCUUAGACAACCAGGAGGUUGGCUUAGAAGCAGCCACCCUUUAAAGAAAGCGUAAUAGCUCACUAGUCGAGUCGGCCUGCGCGGAAGAUGUAACGGGGCUCAAACUGGUCACCGAAGCUGCGGCUGCAUACUUUGUAUGCGGGGUAGGGGAGCGUUCUGUAAGCCUGCGAAGGUGUGUUGAGAAGCAUGCUGGAGGUAUCAGAAGUGCGAAUGCUGACAUGAGUAACGACAAUGCGGGUGAAAAACCCGCACGCCGGAAGACCAAGGGUUCCUGCGCAACGCUAAUCGGCGCAGGGUGAGUCGGCCCCUAAGGCGAGACCGAAAGGUGUAGUCGAUGGGAAACGGGUUAAUAUUCCCGUACCUUGGAUAGCUGCGAUGGAGAGACGGAGAAGGCUAGGUGAGCCGGGCGACGGUUGUCCCGGUUUAAGCGAGUAGGGAGUGGACUUAGGCAAAUCCGGGUCCACAAUCUCGAGACGCGACGACGACUGCUCUUAGAGCGGGAAGUCAUUGAUGCCAUGCUUCCAGGAAAAUCUUCUAAGCUUCAGGUUAUAAGGAACCGUACCCCAAACCGACACAGGU